RNAcentral lists this ribosomal RNA (265 nucleotides) under uncultured Glomus. RNAcentral describes it as "partial 18S ribosomal RNA". It matches the Rfam family "Eukaryotic small subunit ribosomal RNA", at positions 624 to 886 of the family's 1831-position model. The record is from RNAcentral. Lineage: Eukaryota; Fungi; Glomeromycota; Glomeromycetes; Glomerales; Glomeraceae.
AAGCUCGUAGUUGAAUUUCGGGAUUGACGUAAUGGUCAUACCUUAAGGGGUAUGAACUGUUACUGUUGAUUUCUCACCUUCUGGAGAAACUUGAUGUCCUUUAUUGGGUGUCUUGCGGAUCCAGGACCUUUACCUUGAAAAAAUUAGAGUGUUUAAAGCAGGCAUUUUUGCUCGAAUACAUUAGCAUGGAAUAAUAGAAUAGGACGGCAUGGUUCUAUUUUGUUGGUUUCUAGGACCGAAGUAAUGAUUAAUAGGGAUAGUUGGG